GCCCGCCUAGCUCAACUGGCAGAGCACUUCACUUGUAAUGAAGAGGUUUUCGGUUCGAGUCCGAAGGCGGGCU
RNAcentral lists this transfer RNA (73 nucleotides) under Thermoleophilia bacterium. RNAcentral's name for it is "tRNA-Thr". It matches the Rfam family "tRNA". From Rfam's summary of the family: Transfer RNA (tRNA) molecules are approximately 80 nucleotides in length. Their secondary structure includes four short double-helical elements and three loops (D, anti-codon, and T loops). Further hydrogen bonds mediate the characteristic L-shaped molecular structure. tRNAs have two regions of fundamental functional importance: the anti-codon, which is responsible for specific mRNA codon recognition, and the 3' end, to which the tRNAs corresponding amino acid is attached (by aminoacyl-tRNA synthetases). tRNAs cope with the degeneracy of the genetic code in two manners: having more than one tRNA (with a specific anti-codon) for a particular amino acid; and 'wobble' base-pairing, i.e. permitting non-standard base-pairing at the 3rd anti-codon position. RNAcentral also lists the same sequence under 4 other names. The record is from RNAcentral. Lineage: Bacteria; Bacillati; Actinomycetota; Thermoleophilia.